Molecule: ribosomal RNA, 468 nt
Filed under: uncultured bacterium
Lineage: Bacteria
Description: partial 16S ribosomal RNA
Rfam family: Bacterial small subunit ribosomal RNA
Source: RNAcentral
GACGAACGCUGGCGGCGUGCUUAACACAUGCAAGUCGAACGGAAAGGCCCUGCUUUUGUGGGGUGCUCGAGUGGCGAACGGGUGAGUAACACGUGAGUAACCUGCCCUUGACUUUGGGAUAACUUCAGGAAACUGGGGCUAAUACCGGAUAGGAGCUCCUGCUGCAUGGUGGGGGUUGGAAAGUUUCGGCGGUUGGGGAUGGACUCGCGGCUUAUCAGCUUGUUGGUGGGGUAGUGGCUGACCAAGGCUUUGACGGGUAGCCGGCCUGAGAGGGUGACCGGCCACAUUGGGCCUGAGAUACGGCCCAGACUCCUACGGGAGGCAGCAGUGGGGAAUAUUGCACAAUGGGCGGACGCCUGAUGCAGCAACGCCGCGUGCGGGAUGACGGCCUUCGGGUUGUAAACCGCUUUCGCCUGUGACGAAGCGUGAGUGACGGUAAUGGGUAAAGAAGCACCGGCUAACUACGUG